This 253-nucleotide ribosomal RNA is filed under the name uncultured bacterium. RNAcentral's name for it is "partial 16S ribosomal RNA". It matches the Rfam family "Bacterial small subunit ribosomal RNA", at positions 524 to 776 of the family's 1533-position model. The record is from RNAcentral.
UACAGAGGUCCCGAGCGUUGUUCGGAUUCACUGGGCGUAAAGGGUGCGUAGGUGGCAUGGUAAGUUUGAUGUGAAAGCUCAGGGCUUAACCCUGAAAUGGCAUUGAAUACUACUGUGCUGGAGGUUUGGAGGGGGGACUGGAAUUCUUGGUGUAGCAGUGAAAUGCGUAGAUAUCAAGAGGAACACCAGUGGCGAAGGCGAGUCCCUGGACAACACCUGACACUGAGGCACGAAAGCUAGGGGAGCGAACAGG